This 172-nucleotide non-coding RNA is filed under the name bovine gut metagenome. RNAcentral's name for it is "Lysine riboswitch". It matches the Rfam family "Lysine riboswitch aptamer". Rfam says of the family: Riboswitches are metabolite binding domains within certain messenger RNAs that serve as precision sensors for their corresponding targets. Allosteric rearrangement of mRNA structure is mediated by ligand binding, and this results in modulation of gene expression. This family includes riboswitches that sense lysine in a number of genes involved in lysine metabolism, including lysC. The record is from RNAcentral. RNAcentral also lists the same sequence under 1 other name.
UAAGUAGAGGUCGCGCUUUUUAUGAGUACGCUGCCGGAUGCUCCGGUGGCAGAUACGAGGGCAGAGGAAAGGAAAAAGCGCCGAAGCGAAGGAGCGUACCGGCGCUUCUGCCGCUGGGUGCACGGUCAACAGCCGUGCAACUGUCAUCAGAACAUGAUGGAGAGCUACUUGU